CAAAGCAGACCCUCCGAGUUUGCUCACAGGAACAAGCUGGGUUGCACAGCUGCUGGCACACAAGAAACAAAAGGACCCUUGAAAUAACUUCCUUAUGGAGGCAUGAACAAAGCCCUGCCAACCUGUCAGUCCAGCCAUGCAAGAGAAAGAGAAAGGGAGAGAGACAGAGAAAAAGAAAGGGAAUGGAACAGGGAUUCUUUUAGAUCUCAGCAGACAUUAAGAUUUCCAAUGAACAGAGAAAACAAAUAGCCACUGGGACCACACAUGCGUUCUGUAA
Molecule: long non-coding RNA, 277 nt
Filed under: Dromaius novaehollandiae (emu)
Lineage: Eukaryota; Metazoa; Chordata; Aves; Casuariiformes; Dromaiidae
Description: lncRNA (ENSDNVG00000012922.1)
Source: RNAcentral